This 492-nucleotide ribosomal RNA is filed under the name uncultured bacterium. RNAcentral's name for it is "partial 16S ribosomal RNA". It matches the Rfam family "Bacterial small subunit ribosomal RNA", at positions 29 to 507 of the family's 1533-position model. The record is from RNAcentral.
AGUGAACGCUGGCGGCAGGCCUAACACAUGCAAGUCGAACGGCAGCACAGUGAGAGCUCGCUGUUACGGGUGGCGACGGGCGGAUGGGUGAGGGAUACAUCGCAAGCUACGGGUGCUUGGGUGAGAACGUGGGGAAACAUACGCUAAUAGCGCAUAGGGACAACGGGUGGGAGCAGGGGAUCUCCGGAUCUUGGGUGAUACUAGGAGGCGAUGUCGCAUUAGCUAGUUGGCGGGGUAAAGGCCCACCAAGGCGACGAUACGUAGCUGGUCUGAGAGGAUGAUCAGCCACACUGGAACUGAGACACGGUCCAGACUCCUACGGGAGGCAGCAGUGGGGAAUAUUGGACAAUGGGCGAAAGCCUGAUCCAGCCAUGCCGCGUGAGUGAAGAAGGCCUUCGGAUUGUAAAGCCCUUUUAUUAGGGAAGAAAAGCAGUAUGUUAAUACCUCGCUGUUUUGACGGUACCUAAAGAAUAAGCACCGGCUAACUUCGUG